GGGUUGUGAGGUUAAGCGACUAAGCGUACACGGUGGAUGCCCUGGCAGUCAGAGGCGAUGAAGGACGUGCUAAUCUGCGAUAAGCGCCGGUAAGGUGAUAUGAACCGUUAUAACCGGCGAUUUCCGAAUGGGGAAACCCAGUGUGAUUCGUCACACUAUCAUUAACUGAAUCCAUAGGUUAAUGAGGCGAACCGGGGGAACUGAAACAUCUAAGUACCCCGAGGAAAAGAAAUCAACCGAGAUUCCCCCAGUAGCGGCGAGCGAACGGGGAGGAGCCCAGAGCCUGAAUCAGCAUGUGUGUUAGUGGAAGCGUCUGGAAAGGUGCGCGAUACAGGGUGACAGCCCCGUACACAAAAGCGCAUGUGCUGUGAGCUCGAUGAGUAGGGCGGGACACGUGGUAUCCUGUCUGAAUAUGGGGGGACCAUCCUCCAAGGCUAAAUACUCCUGACUGACCGAUAGUGAACCAGUACCGUGAGGGAAAGGCGAAAAGAACCCCGGCGAGGGAGUGAAAAAGAACCUGAAACCGUGUACGUACAAGCAGUGGGAGCACAGGUUUACCUGUGUGACUGCGUACCUUUGUAUAAUGGGUCAGCGACUUAUAUUCUGUAGCAAGGUUAACCGUAUAGGGAGCCGUAGGAAACCGAGUCUUAACCGGGCGUUAAGUUGCAGGGUAUAGACCCGAAACCCGGUGAUCUAGCCAUGGGCAGGUUGAAGGUUGGGUAACACUAACUGGAGGACCGAACCGACUAAUGUUGAAAAAUUAGCGGAUGACCUGUGGCUGGGGGUGAAAGGCCAAUCAAACCGGGAGAUAGCUGGUUCUCCCCGAAAGCUAUUUAGGUAGCGCCUCGUGAAUUCAUCUCCGGGGGUAGAGCACUGUUUCGGCUAGGGGGCCAUCCCGGCUUACCAACCCGAUGCAAACUGCGAAUACCGGAGAAUGUUAUCACGGGAGACACACGGCGGGUGCUAACGUCCGUCGUGAAGAGGAAACAACCCAGACCGCCAGCUAAGGUCCCAAAGUCAUGGUUAAGUGGGAAACGAUGUGGGAAGGCCCAGACAGCGGGAUGUUGGCUUAGAAGCAGCCAUCAUUUAAAGAAAGCGUAAUAGCUCACUGGUCGAGUCGGCCUGCGCGGAAGAUGUAACGGGGCUAAACCAUGCACCGAAGCUGCGGCAGCGAACGUAUCACCCAAGACAACUUUACGGAGUUGACGAUUGACGGAGCGAAGCGACGUCAAAGCGUUCAUUAAAGUCGAGUUGGCUUAGGGAUACGUUCGUUGGGUAGGGGAGCGUUCUGUAAGCCUGUGAAGGUGUGUCGUGAGGCAUGCUGGAGGUAUCAGAAGUGCGAAUGCUGACAUAAGUAACGAUAAAGCGGGUGAAAAGCCCGCUCGCCGGAAGACCAAGGGUUCCUGUCCAACGUUAAUCGGGGCAGGGUGAGUCGACCCCUAAGGCGAGGCCGAAAGGCGUAGUCGAUGGGAAACGGGUUAAUAUUCCCGUACUUGGUGUUACUGCGAAGGGGGGACGGAGAAGGCUAUGUUGGCCGGGCGACGGUUGUCCCGGUUUAAGCGUGUAGGUGUGUGUUCGGGUAAAUCCGGUUCACUUUAACACUGAGGCGUGACGACGAGGCACUACGGUGCUGAAGCAACAAAUGCCCUGCUUCCAGGAAAAGCCUCUAAGCAUCAGGUAACACGAAAUCGUACCCCAAACCGACACAGGUGGUCAGGUAGAGAAUACCAAGGCGCUUGAGAGAACUCGGGUGAAGGAACUAGGCAAAAUGGUGCCGUAACUUCGGGAGAAGGCACGCUGACACGUAGGUGAAGUGAUUUACUCAUGGAGCUGAAGUCAGUCGAAGAUACCAGCUGGCUGCAACUGUUUAUUAAAACACAGCACUGUGCAAACACGAAAGUGGACGUAUACGGUGUGACGCCUGCCCGGUGCCGGAAGGUUAAUUGAUGGGGUCAGCGUAAGCGAAGCUCCUGAUCGAAGCCCCGGUAAACGGCGGCCGUAACUAUAACGGUCCUAAGGUAGCGAAAUUCCUUGUCGGGUAAGUUCCGACCUGCACGAAUGGCGUAAUGAUGGCGGGCUGUCUCCACCCGAGACUCAGUGAAAUUGAACUCGCUGUGAAGAUGCAGUGUACCCGCGGCAAGACGGAAAGACCCCGUGAACCUUUACUAUAGCUUGACACUGAACAUUGAGCCUUGAUGUGUAGGAUAGGUGGGAGGCUUUGAAGUGUGGACGCCAGUCUGCAUGGAGCCGACCUUGAAAUACCACCCUUUAAUGUUUGAUGUUCUAACGUGGACCCGUAAUCCGGGUUGCGGACAGUGUCUGGUGGGUAGUUUGACUGGGGCGGUCUCCUCCUAAAGAGUAACGGAGGAGCACGAAGGUUGGCUAAUCCUGGUCGGACAUCAGGAGGUUAGUGCAAUGGCAUAAGCCAGCUUGACUGCGAGCGUGACGGCGCGAGCAGGUGCGAAAGCAGGUCAUAGUGAUCCGGUGGUUCUGAAUGGAAGGGCCAUCGCUCAACGGAUAAAAGGUACUCCGGGGAUAACAGGCUGAUACCGCCCAAGAGUUCAUAUCGACGGCGGUGUUUGGCACCUCGAUGUCGGCUCAUCACAUCCUGGGGCUGAAGUAGGUCCCAAGGGUAUGGCUGUUCGCCAUUUAAAGUGGUACGCGAGCUGGGUUUAGAACGUCGUGAGACAGUUCGGUCCCUAUCUGCCGUGGGCGCUGGAGAACUGAGGGGGGCUGCUCCUAGUACGAGAGGACCGGAGUGGACGCAUCACUGGUGUUCGGGUUGUCAUGCCAAUGGCACUGCCCGGUAGCUAAAUGCGGAAGAGAUAAGUGCUGAAAGCAUCUAAGCACGAAACUUGCCCCGAGAUGAGUUCUCCCUGAGACUUAGAGUCUCCUGAAGGAACGUUGAAGACGACGACGUUGAUAGGCCGGGUGUGUAAGCGCAGCGAUGCGUUGAGCUAACCGGUACUAAUGAACCGUGAGGCUUAACCUUACAACGCCGAAG
Molecule: ribosomal RNA, 3004 nt
Filed under: Salmonella enterica subsp. enterica serovar Typhimurium
Lineage: Bacteria; Pseudomonadati; Pseudomonadota; Gammaproteobacteria; Enterobacterales; Enterobacteriaceae
Description: 23S ribosomal RNA
Rfam family: Bacterial large subunit ribosomal RNA
Source: RNAcentral